Molecule: small nucleolar RNA, 154 nt
Organism: Molossus molossus (Pallas's mastiff bat)
Lineage: Eukaryota; Metazoa; Chordata; Mammalia; Chiroptera; Molossidae
Product: small nucleolar RNA SNORA57
Exons: 1
Source: RefSeq, a predicted model, not a curated record
UCAUUUUUUAAUGUUAUGAUACGUAAUUAAUAUCAUGUCCUUCUCCCCAUAAUGUACGAAGACAGAGGGAGAGGGCUCCAGCCACUUUGGUUUCAUGUCUUCGGUGCCGACGGUUUCCAGUCCGCCAGUUCUAUCCUCAAGUGCUGGGACAUGA